AUGCGCCGGGAAGGGCGCUCUGCCUUGGCCGCCGAGGGAGCGAGCCGGAGACGGGGCAUCCCUUGCCGCGGCCCSGCGUUCCGGCCCCUGGCGCAGGGAGGAGCCCCCCGCGGAGGCGCUCCUGCCCCCCAGCCCGCUCCCCCCCUAAAUCACAGCUGGCAUCUUCGGGGYUCGCCCGGUCGGGGUCGCCCCGCCGGCUCCUUCGGGAACGGCGCUCGGGAGCGGAGCAUCUCCCUCCUCCGGCCGCCGUUACGUAAGGCCGCGGGCGGGAGGCAGGCGGGGAAGCGCUGCCUGCGCUCUCGCCUCCCCAAAAGCCUCGGCAGCCCUAGCAACAGGCAGGCCAUUGGCGUGCGGCGGUGCCGGGGCCAUCGGCGGUACCGGGGCCAUCGGCGGCACGGCACGGCACGGCACGGCCCGGCCCGCUCCCCACGGUGCCCACGGGCUUUGCUGCACGGGGAGGCGACGGGGCGGGAGCCGGCAGAGCAUCCUGCCGUGGGCAUCCCCGCGCCCGGCACGUUUUGGGGAGCCGCCCCGGGAGAGCUGGCGCGGGCCAUCGCUCCAGCGCCGCCUCGGAGAGGGGAGAAGGCGUCCCCGCACCUCCGCCGCGUUUCUGCCCCYGAAACGCUGGGGUUUGGGGCGGCUGCUCCUGCGCCCUCCGGGCAGCUCCUCAUCCUCGGCGAGGCAAGAGCCGCCCUCGCCGGCUGCGAAGGGGGCGCGGGGGGAGAGCCAGAGGUCUCGACGGGGGCCCCYGAGCAAAGCUGGGGAGGCCUAAUUCGGCUGCCUUCGCCCUCUGCGAGCCCCAGGCCCCCCUUCCCGGGGGGUUAUUCCCCGGUUUUCCCCCCGGGGGGGUGCGUGCCGGGACGGGACGGGACGGGACGGCCGGCGCUGGGGCCCGCCCCGCCGGGCGCACGAGCCAACGCACAUUUUAGGUUUACAGUUUCCAAGGGAGGGGAUUAUUUUUGCAGCGUGAGUCACCGCACGCAGCUUCGAGUGGAAAAACCCGGGGGGAGGGAGGCCAGGGCCCCCAGCGCCGGCGGGGAAACGCUCCCCAUCGCUCCCGCCGCGGGGCGAGCUCCGGCGCGGCCCCCGCCGCCGUUUGCCCUCUCCCGGGAGCCGAAGGUYAAACGCAGGCCGGGAGGGGGGCGAGGGACGCCUAGUCAACCAUUAACCCGCCGCGGCGGCGGCCACCGCCAGCGCGCCUGA
This 1203-nucleotide long non-coding RNA is filed under the name Apteryx haastii (Great spotted kiwi). Its description in RNAcentral is "lncRNA (ENSAHAG00000006597.1)". The record is from RNAcentral. Lineage: Eukaryota; Metazoa; Chordata; Aves; Apterygiformes; Apterygidae.